This is a non-coding RNA of Lolium perenne, 2712 nucleotides long. The record is from RefSeq and is a predicted model, not a curated record. NCBI's taxonomy places the organism in Eukaryota, Viridiplantae, Streptophyta, Magnoliopsida, Poales, Poaceae.
CCCACAGCCGAGCAAUUCCCCAAUCCUAUCCCCGCGUGCCUCGCAGCCGCCGCUCGCGCCUCCCAUCCCCCGCCGCCAUCUCGCGCCUCCCAUCACCGCCAUCGCGUCGCGCGCCCCUUCUCGCCCACAGCGCCGCCGGUUCCUGCUGUGCGUCUGCGCCGGCGCAGCGUCCUGGCUCGAACCGCUGCGGAGCGCCGUCUCGGUCUCGUUUGCGGGAGGAGCGGCCGGUCGGCCUGCCCCGAGCCCGCCGCGGGACGCCGUCUCGUUGCUGGGAGGAACGGCCGGUCAGCCCGCGCUACGCCAGGGCGUCGAGCCCGCCGCUGCACAUCGUGCUAUGGCUGGGCUGCUCCGCGCGAGUAGCAGCAGCGUGCCGGAGAGAUGAGGUAUCAUAUGGGGGAGGAGGAGACAGAGGCUGGGGUGGAGGAGAUGGAGCAGCGCCGUAUCGCCAUCGCCGGGAGCAGUUCCGCCUUGCACUGGACCCGACCGACUGUGAGGGGAGCGGCGUCGGCGGUGGCCGCAAACCUCACCGUCCCCUGCAGUGGCCGGCGAUUUGAGACAUGGGCAAAGGAGAAGAUGCUAACAUGGAAUUAGAUUGUGGAUCCUUCCAAUAUUCCUCAGGGGGACUAUCCCAUUUCAAGCACAUCAUGUGUGGAUGCCAAGAGGUUGCGCUGUUCCGCAACACUAUCUGACCCCGUACUCUCUCUCUCUCUCUCAAGAAGGCUGCUCUACAGGGAGGUUUUUUUUACCAGGAGGAGUGCGGCAUCACCAUCUCCGGGAGAAGAGAAGGCCGCCGCACGUGUCACUAGCUGUUGUGCCUCUCCCUCCUUGAGGUUUAGGUAAUUUAUGUCUUGGGUUGCAAUGGUUUCCCAAACUCAAUCCUCAGAUCUGUGUUGUGCAGAAUUUUGAGUGGAAGAAGCAUGCCUCUCCAAGUUUAAUGCACGUAUAUCAUGAUCUGGAAAUUUCGAACAUCAGUAAUGAUAUGGAAAAGGUUGGUUUGAAUGCAUUGUAAUGCUUGAAGCUCUCAUUGGGCUUAUUUUAUCCUCCAAACGAUAUCCGAAGCAAUCAAGUUCGCCAACUACAACAAUGGCAACCAUCUGUUUGGUGUUGGCAAUGGACGUGGGACCUAGGCCCCGGAGAUCAAUGGCGACGAGGAGCUGCUGCUGGUCGUCGUUGCGGCACUUGCGCUCAUCUGACAGUGAGUGACGUUCAGCCAGUAACAAGUUAUCUAUCUUCUUUGGGCGGGAGGAUCAAGUGAUCACCAAAAUAUUUCUUCAGAUCUUUCACUUUCAUGGUGUUGUAUGAUUAAAUGGAUUCUAAGAAAAUGAGUUGAGUAUGUGUUUCAAUUUUUUGAGAGAAAGAUCAAAAUGUUAAUACUAAGAUUAUCUUCAUUGAAUGGCAAAUCCUUAAUAUUGUUGUUGAAGGAUGAGGAUGACAGGAUGCAGAAAAAUACUUUUACCAACAAUCAUUGUGGCCUCUACUAAAGUGAUUUAUAGGUUCGGCAUUAUGCUACUGGUUAUGUGUUCUGCUAUAAUUAAUGAUGGGCAUGGAAGUACGCAAAAGGGACAGAUGAUUGGGAUCAAGGUUCAGUGACUUGAUCCAGGUCAAAGGACAUUAUCUGACUUGAAGACCAGCCAUUCCUAAAGAAGGAUUACUAGGAGACGUACACUGGUGAUAUUGUUUCCGUCUUCAGUAACGGUUAAUAUGCCACCGCUGUGCCGCAACAGAGCGUCCAGAGCCGCCACAUACGGUGGUGAGGAAGAGCGUGCGCAGGGAGCAUGUGCAGAUUGUCAUGGGAGGAUUAAUCUGUGUAACUGAGGAAAACAAUACCGCCGGAGUUGAUCCUGACAGUUGACGUGAAGCAGUGUGGAAGAACGGCAUGAAGAUGAAGGCAGCGAGCUGCUGGAUACAAUCGCGCCAGACCUGGUGUUCAUCAUCGAUGAUAAGUCGGACCAGGUGUUCACCCGGUAUGGAAACAACUUGGUGGCCAGGAGAAGAUACCCCUCGCGAUGUCCUGACAGGCACCCAUGCACCUGGCAAUGCUGGACAGAUGUAGGAUGACAGGGUCUAUCUGCUCCAUGAUCCACCCAUGGUCGGAGUAGUGAUAGCAUGAUGGCGCCAAUGUGAUCUUAUACCAAUUUAUCCCCAACAUGCAUACACACAAAGCGAAAGAUUUCAUGUGUGCUUAUGUCCUUUCCUCUUUUAGCUAACGACAGCUUUUGUGUUCUUUUAAUUUUGUUACCAGGAAUUACAGCUAGGCCAUAGAAGGCAAAAGCUUGAGCAAAAAACUGUGUUUGCUGGUCAACAUGUGUGGAUGCUGCCGGCUUGGCUCGAUUCUUCCUCACGCGUCGCGGAUGGCUUCGUUGUGCCUCACUGAAAGGUUGUCAGCCUAAUGGAGUCUCUUUAGAUGGAGGCUGUCGAGCUCGAGACUGUCGAGAUCCUGCCUGGUAUCAUGUUGGAAGCUAUGUUGCAGAAGGUGCAACUACCUAUUAGAAUUAGGUUUUUUUGUGCGCAGUGGCCUCUAAAGACGGAAUUGCAGCGAGCUUAUUUAGAUGUUACUUUUGUUAGUUCUGGCUUUACCUCUAUUUGUCUCCAAAAACCAUAAGAGUGUUAAUAUAUUUCGCUAUUUCCCUCAUUGCUUAUAAGCAUUGUUGUUCCGUUCUGAUUUCGUGUGUUCAACUUAUUGAUUUUGUUUUCUAAAUCCUGUAAAACGUA